RNAcentral lists this ribosomal RNA (450 nucleotides) under uncultured bacterium. RNAcentral's name for it is "partial 16S ribosomal RNA". It matches the Rfam family "Bacterial small subunit ribosomal RNA", at positions 354 to 796 of the family's 1533-position model. The record is from RNAcentral.
GCUAAGAAUAUUCCGCAAUGGACGAAAGUCUGACGGAGCGACGCCGCGUGGAUGAGGAAGGCCGAAAGGUUGUAAAGUCCUUUUGUCGAUGAAGAAUAAGUGGUGGAGGGAAUGCCAUCAUGAUGACGUUAGUCGGCGAAUAAGCCCCGGCUAAUUACGUGCCAGCAGCCGCGGUAACACGUAAGGGGCAAGCGUUGUUCGGAAUUAUUGGGCGGAAAGGGUCGGUAGGCGGUUAUGUAAGCCCGGCGUGAAAUCCUGCAGCUUAACUGGAGAGCUGCGCUGGGAACUGCGUAACUUGAGUCAUGGAAGGGAAGUUAGAAUUCCAGGUGUAGGGGUGAAAUCUGUAGAUAUCUGGAAGAAUACCGGUGGCGAAGGCGAACUUCUGGCCAAUGACUGACGCUGAGGUACGAAAGUGCGGGGAGCAAACAGGAUUAGAAACCCGGGUAGUCC